Molecule: ribosomal RNA, 117 nt
Filed under: Dehalococcoidia bacterium
Lineage: Bacteria; Bacillati; Chloroflexota; Dehalococcoidia
Also listed under: 1 other name
Source: RNAcentral
CUUGGUGAUUUUGGCGAGGUUGAACCACCCGUUCCCAUCCCGAACACGGAAGUGAAACGCUUCAGCGCUUACGAUACUGCACCUGCAAGGGUGUGGGAAAAUAUGUCAUUGCCAGGG